RNAcentral lists this ribosomal RNA (254 nucleotides) under uncultured bacterium. RNAcentral's name for it is "partial 16S ribosomal RNA". It matches the Rfam family "Bacterial small subunit ribosomal RNA", at positions 524 to 776 of the family's 1533-position model. The record is from RNAcentral.
CACGUAGGGGGCAAGCGUUGUCCGGAUUCAUUGGGCGUAAAGAGCUCGUAGGCGGUUCGAUAAGUCGGGUGUGAAACCUCCAGGCUCAACCUGGAGACGCCACCCGAUACUGUCGUGACUAGAGUCCAGUAGGGGAGCGUGGAAUUCCUGGUGUAGCAGUGAAAUGCGCAGAUAUCAGGAGGAACACCAGCGGCGAAGGCGGCGCUCUGGGCUGGAACUGACGCUGAGGAGCGAAAGCGUGGGGAGCGAACAGG